RNAcentral lists this ribosomal RNA (524 nucleotides) under uncultured Pseudomonadota bacterium. RNAcentral's name for it is "bacterial SSU rRNA". It matches the Rfam family "Bacterial small subunit ribosomal RNA", at positions 355 to 871 of the family's 1533-position model. Lineage: Bacteria; Pseudomonadati; Pseudomonadota. The record is from RNAcentral.
UCGGGAAUUUUUGGGCAAUGGGCGAAAGCCUGACCCAGCGACGCCGCGUGAGGGAUGAAGGCCUUCGGGUCGUAAACCUCUGUCGGAAGGGGCGAAAUGUUCUCGGGCGAAUAGGCCGAGGGCUUGACGGUACCUUCAAAGGAAGCGCCGGCUAACUCCGUGCCAGCAGCCGCGGUAAUACGGAGGGCGCAAGCGUUGUUCGGAAUUACUGGGCGUAAAGCGCGUGUAGGUGGCCUGGAAAGUCGGGUGUGAAAUCCCGGAGCUCAACUCCGGAACUGCAUCCGAUACUGCCAGGCUCGAGUCUCGGAGAGGACGGCGGAAUUUCCGGUGUAGAGGUGAAAUUCGUAGAUAUCGGAAGGAACACCAGUGGCGAAGGCGGCCGUCUGGACGAUGACUGACACUGAGACGCGAAAGCGUGGGGAGCAAACAGGAUUAGAUACCCUGGUAGUCCACGCCAUAAACGUUGGGUGCUAGACGUCGGGGUAUUGACCCCUCGGUGUCGAAGCUAACGCAUUAAGCACCCG